This 468-nucleotide ribosomal RNA is filed under the name uncultured bacterium. Its description in RNAcentral is "partial 16S ribosomal RNA". It matches the Rfam family "Bacterial small subunit ribosomal RNA", at positions 28 to 507 of the family's 1533-position model. The record is from RNAcentral.
GACGAACGCUGGCGGCGUGCUUAACACAUGCAAGUCGAACGGAAAGGCCCUGCUUUUGUGGGGUGCUCGAGUGGCGAACGGGUGAGUAACACGUGAGUAACCUGCCCUUGAUUUUGGGAUAACUUCAGGAAACUGGGGCUAAUACCGGAUAGGAUCUCCUGCUGCAUGGUGGGGGUUGGAAAGUUUCGGCGGUUGGGGAUGGACUCGCGGCUUAUCAGCUUGUUGGUGGGGUAGUGGCUUACCAAGGCUUUGACGGGUAGCCGGCCUGAGAGGGUGACCGGCCACAUUGGGACUGAGAUACGGCCCAGACUCCUACGGGAGGCAGCAGGGGGGAAUAUUGCACAAUGGGCGGAAGCCUGAUGCAGCAACGCCGCGUGCGGAAUGACGGCCUUCGGGUUGUAAACCGCUUUCGCCUGUGACGAAGCGUGAGUGACGGUAAUGGGUAAAGAAGCACCGGCUAACUACGUG